RNAcentral lists this long non-coding RNA (25406 nucleotides) under Citrus x clementina. Its description in RNAcentral is "Citrus clementina (C. clementina) long non-coding RNA (CCLE_LNC002344)". The record is from RNAcentral. Lineage: Eukaryota; Viridiplantae; Streptophyta; Magnoliopsida; Sapindales; Rutaceae.
GGACCCUUAAAACAUUUUCAUUUGAAAUUAUUUGGUGAAGUGAAAAAGUUAAGAAAGAAAUAGUUGUCCCUUUGGUCAUUUCACAAAAAUGAAAGCCCCAUAUAACAUGGACUUGAAUGGAAGCCCAAUUGUUGUGUUUGAUUUCAAGCUUUAUCGGACCUUUGGACCUGGAUACUUUACUGCGGCCUCUAAGCGCUACAAAUUUUUUUUUUGGGAUAAAAGGCGCUUCAAUGAAAAAGCACUUUAAAACUUUGGAUUUUGCCAAAACUUCAAAGCGGUUGGUCCAGUUACGGUGUUAUGCUAACGGGUUUAAAGGUUCCGAUCCAAUGAGUUAGGGUGGAAUAUGAAUAUAUAAAUCCUAGUCAUGUAAGGACUAGGAUUUGUUUGUUCAUAUCAAGAAAAAAAAUCUGAAAAUUUGAUGAUCAGAAGAUAAAAACACUUAAACACGUUUAUUACAGAGAAACAAACGACAACAUGAUGCUAGUAGUAAUUUUAUUUUUCUUUUAUUGUGUAACGUGGACCAAAAAAAAGGAAAUGAAUUUAAUAAAACCGUCAUUCCGCAAUAAUAAUGUACCAGCCUGGUUUUUAUAAUCCAUACCAUCCUGAUAUAAUUAAACACCAUUAAUAAUGUACCAGCCUUUAAAUAGUAAUUAAUUUAUUUAUCUAAUUCACCAAAUGUCAUUUCCGGUACAUAUCUCCUGGUAUCAAGAAGAGGCAGAACCCAAAGAAACGUUUCUUGUAUCUUCAUAUUUGUGCGAAUUCAUCCUUUCAUUGAGAAUAACCAUUUCCAGGCGGCAGUUGGCAAUCAAUUCAUGCGCAAGUCGAUGCUAUUCAUAGAUAUUAAAGACAAUGAUGAACCAAAGGUGAUAAAUCAUAAAUGCAUAAUUACCAAACCUCCAUCCUUCUCUCAUUAUGAUUUGAUUUUAAAUGAAUUAUUGCUUGGUAACAUUAUUUCCAACCAUUGCAAGAUUAUUAUUAUUUUUUUUUGGGGAGAAAUUUCAAUUGAAAGUGAAACCUUUAGACAUUUACCUAAUGAAGUUAGUUAAUGGGGAGGGUUGGAAAAAUUCCCAAGCCGUUGCACAGCAAUUACGAUCAUCCUCGGCCUCAGGUAAUUUCUUCUCCUGCAUUUUUGUUAUUUGCUAUCAAGUGACAUUCGUAAGUAUGAUUGUAUUAAGCUGCUGCUGGGAAAUAUAAGGUUUUGAUGGCUGCCCAUGCUAUUGUCAGAAGCUGCGGUUCUUUUCAUCAGCCUGAACCUGGACCUGUCGCCAUGGAUAACUGAGGUUUUUUUUUUUUUAAAUCAACUACGUCAUCUUUUCCACUGUUUUGAAACUCUUAAGAUUAAACUUUAGUAAAGUUGUUUUAGUUAUCCAUGUAAUCAGGCUGAGGAUACUUAGCUGCCUAUUUAGGCAAAUGUCAGACUUUAGUUUGUUCGCUGGGAACUGGUGUGGUGACAGCGUCCUGGCAAAGGAUGAUGAGAUAGUUUUUUGAUUGAGUAAAUUUUGGGGGCUUGAGUAUAUUGGGAUUUGCAAUUACAAUUAUCCUCUGCCUCAGGUGAUUUCUUCUCCUGCCCUGUCGUUGUUUGUUCUCUAAUUCAAAAUUAUAAAAUAUUUCAUCAAAUUUUAUGCCGGGAAUAUGCAAAAGUUUCUAAUAUUUUAUUUCCAUCUGUUUGUCUUGAUAACUUUGCAGCAUAUGUACUAGUUAAAGAACAAAUCGAAACAGAGUUCAGUUAAAAGUUUCUUCUGCCGUCAUAUUUGAAAAAUGAACCCAUUUCCAGGAAGCAAUGGGCAGCAAAUUCAUAUAAAGCGUAGACAAUGAUGAGCAAACAGGUGAUUCACAUUAAUGAAAUUAAUUGUUUGGUUGGAGCGGACAUUGUUAGAAGGCUAUUGAGCUAACCUAUGUCACUACUUGCCUAGAUUACAGGGGGUCAAAACUCAAAAGCGGCAUUGAAUUUUAAAAGGCAUCCAAUAAUUCUUGUGGCCAUAUAUCAAUUCAUGUAUGUUUGAAUGUAAUUAUUGGUGAAGGGGUUUCACUUCCCGUCUCUAAAUAAAAAUACUGAUUCUUUAAGGUACCUGCCACUAGGGAUUGCGAGAUUAAUGAGUCUUUGGACAUUGGAAGAGCUCCUUGUGAGUGGAGGAGGAGGUGUUGAUGGUAGCAAAGCAUGUGGGCAGUGGGCUUGAAUCUCUAAAAAACUUGGAACUCCUCCAAGCGUAAGUAUACGUAUACUGGGAAAUUUGUUAGAUGUGGAUGAGGCUAAGAGAUUAGAGCUUGACAAAAUGAAAUACCUCUUUCAUUGAGACUUAAAUUUGAUGGGGAAGAAGAAAAAGAAGAGGGAAGGAGGAAGAAUGAGGAUAAUCAACUUGUUCUUGAAGCCUUGCAACCACCUCUGAAUUUGAAGGAAUUAGAGAUUUGGUCAUACAGAGGCAACAUUGUUUCCCCCCGGAUGAUGCAAAAAUUGAAGGAAUUUACCAAUCUAAGGAGUUUGACACUCUUUAAAACUGCAAAAAUUGAGAGCAGUUGCCUCCUUUGGGAAAAUUGUGAUCCUUUGAAAAUCUCAGCAUAUUGUACAUGGAGAGUGUGAAAACAGUGGGUAAUGAAUUUCUGGGAAUAGAAAGUCAUCUUCAUGACUCAUCUCCAUCUUUAUCAGUUAUUAUUGCCUUCCCCAAAUUGAAAUCACUUUCAGUUGAGGGAUUGAUGGAAUUGGAGGAGUGGGAUUAUGGGAUUAAAAGAACAGGAAACACCUUCACCAACAUUAUGCCACGUCUUUCUUCCUUGGAAAUUAGUGUGGGGUUAUGGGAUCGCACAACCACGUUGAAGGUAUUGCAGAUUGUGGCAUGUGGUACUCUAAGAAGACGUUGCAGACAGGGGAGAGCAGAAGACUGGCCUAAGUUCUCUCACAUUCUAGACAUCAUGAUUGUGUGAAAAGAGGCCCUUGACAAAAUUCUCUAGGCGGCUACAUGGAGUACAAUCAUAAAAUGCUAAUGUGGCCACCCUGGUUCUUAAUUAAGGUUGUGAAAUAUUAUUGUAAAAGAUGAUUAAUUCAAUUUGAGUCAUUCGUUUGCUUUGAUAAUGAUAGUAAUUUUAUAUUUUGACAAUUUGCAAGGUGAGAAUGGUGCUGAUUGGUGAUACAGGAUACGGUUCAAACACCAUUGAAUAAAGCUACGGACAUGGUGGCUCAACUUAGCUAUUGCUGUCAAAAUUGGUAAGUUGGCUUGUCAAUGUAUUGAUGCUUUUGUUUUCUCUCAACCCUAAUUACCUUACCUUCAUUUAGUUUGGCUUUGGAGUUGAGUAAUAACUUUCAAGGUUCUCAAACAGAGCAGGACAACCGAAAAAAAAAGCUUAAUUUGCUACUGAUCACGUGUUACCAAUUAUUAAGGUAAUUCUCGUUUACUUGCUUCUACACUAUAGAGUACGUGUUCUGGCUGGUUUAUCUAAUUCAUCAAAUGUUAUUUCCUUAUUGUUCCAUUGAUAUAUUUGUUAGAAAGUGAAACCAUUUCCAGGCAGCAGUUGGCAGUGAAUUCAUGCAAAUGUUGAUGCCAUUCAUAGAUAUUGAAGACAAUGAUGAGCCAAAGGUGAUAAAUCAUUAAUGCAUAGUUACCAAAACCUCCAUCCUUCUCUCAUUGUAAUUUGAUUUGAAAUGAAUAAUUUCUAGGUAAUUGAAGCCAAUAUUGUUAGAAACGGUGUUGAGCUACCCAAGCUAAGAAGUUGGCUGCCAAAAAAUGCAGGGGAUCAAAAGAAGCAUUGCAUUUGAAAAGGAAUGAGAUUCUGGUUGCUACAUGUCAAUUCGUAGAAGUUUCAAUAAAUUUAAUGGUUCAAGAUUUUAGUUUCUGUUUAAAUUUGUGCUACUGCAGUGCUGCAGUGCUGCUACUGGGAAAUUUAAAUCCCAUAUUAGACUUUCCUCACAUAAGAAGCUGUGGAUCUUCGGACAUCAGGUUUUUUCACAGUUCUGAAACUCUCAGGAUUAAACUCUAUUAAAGUUGUUGUAGUUGUCUACGUUCUCAGGUCAAGGAUUCUAAGCUGCCGAUUAAGGCAAAAUGUCAGAAUUCCCCUAUUAUUUUUUUUUUCAUGUAAAAUUAUGUUGUUGUCUUCGCCCAUGAAUCUUAGCUAAAUUCUGAACCAAUUGUUUGCUAUUAUAAAUUUCAUUGUUAAAUAUUAAUUGUGAUGUUGGUGUUGAGUUUCUUUUAAAGUCAGAGAAGCCUGACGAUUGAGUUCCAUGGGAUUCUGAGAAGCAGUAAUAUUUUGAACAAGUGAAGGUUCUUCGUUUUUACAGUAUGUGCAGAUGUCUAAGAGGCAGGAUUUUUAUUUCUGUAAUGCUAAAUUUCGCAAAACAAUAAAAAUAAAUAAAUGCAUGACAGUGACUUCAAGAAUUUAGAUUAUUGAAUUUGGUCAUUUUAAAAUUGUUGGAAUGUUGAACUUAAGUAAUUUUUAUAAACCAGAGCUCAGAAAUGUAGAAUAUAAAUAUUGGAGAUUUGGACUUCAAUCAUUAGACUUGAAGCUAAAGAGGUAAGCCAUUAAUUAUAUCAAAGGAUUUGGAAAAUGGAGGGAUUGGAAAAAGGAAACAUUUUCAUAAACUUCAAGAGGAACGUCACAGAAAGGGGUAAAGAGAAGAGUAGCCUAAGAUAUUAAAGACAAUGUUGAGCCAAAGGAAACAUAAAUCCCAACCAUUGCAUGUGAACAUGAUCACAAUAAGGUCAAAAACCAUUUUUUUGAGAAUUUUCAAUUGAAAGUGAAACCUUUUGACAUUUACCUAGUAAAGUUAGUUAAACGAGAGAAAUAAAGGGGAAAAGAAAAGUUGACUCAAGUCAAUACAGAAUAAUUAGUUCAAUCUGGAGUAACUAAAACAGAGCCACUAUAUUUUCAAAAAUAUCUGCAUUCAUCACCUUCUCCUCCAGCUAGUGAGCUACACACGAAUCCUUUCCUUUUAGCAUUUUUGCAGCAUCAAUUUCUCCCCUCGUUUGUCAUCAAUUUCUCCCUUCGUUUCACCAAUACCAUGGCUGAUGCAAUCGUUUCCCCUCUCUUGGAGCAGCUGAUUAUCUUUGCUGCUGAAGAGUUGAAACAACAGGGGAAGCUGGUGAGUGUUGGAUGAGUGGAUCACAGCAUGCGCCAAAUCGCAAAAUAGAUCAAUGCUCUUGGUGCUCCUUAUCUGAAGAAGAAGGUGCAAAUUGGGAGCUGCAUUUCACUGUCAUAACAUUUAUUGUAAUUUCAUUUGGAGAUAUGUAAUAUCUGUUGUCCAGAUACAUAUCAUACACCAGUUGCUAUGUAAUUUCGUUUAGGUUCAUUUUUGUUUCUUAAGAGUUUGUAAAAAGAAUGGAAAGAUUUUAAAAUAUAAAUUUCAUAUCUGUUUAUUACUGUUGUUUGGUCUAAUUUCUUAUGUAGAAUUUUCAGAAUCUGUAGGACAUUAGUUUAUAAUUUUGAGAUUUUGCAGCCAUAAAAAAAAUUUUUUUUUUUUGCCAUUUUAUUUUGCUCCUUUAUCUAUGUGCAUGUUGACUGGCUGCAGUGAGUGAAAAUUUACCUAUAUAUGCUGGCUAUUCUUGGACAAUAUUAGAGAAAAUAAUCAUAUUAUUUCGCGUGAUGUGAACUUCCAUAACUUAUCAAUUGAAUUGCUGUAAAAUAUUAAAUAGUUUUAUUUUUCUUUUAUCGUGUAACUUGGACCAAAAAAGGAAAUGAGUUUAACACGACCCUCAAUAUAACCUCCAUUUCAGCACAAUACAUGUUAAUUGUUCCCCAAGGACUUCUCCUGUUUCCCAUUCCCACCUCCAUGCUCUCGAGAGGAAUUUAGCACCCAUCAAUUUUUAUUUUUGAAAACUCGUAAUGGUCUGAUAAAAUUAAACAACAUCAAUAAUGUUACCAGUCUUUAAAUAGUAAUUAAUUUAUUUAAUUUGCCACCUAAAAGAAUCCUGCUGGAAAUAGAGGUUAAAAAUUUUAUUAGAUCUGCUUACCUUUGUUCAUUCAGCAAAAACACUUACAAUUCACAGCUAGAGAAUCUAUCCAUUGACAAUUGUGGAUUAAAAUUAUAACACCUGAAUUCAAACAUAUCCUUAUGAAGUUAUGAAUUUGUUCAUACUUCAAAUGAUUUUUUUUUCCAAGCUAAUAAAGCAACCACUUUGAUCAAACGACGACGUUGAAGGAAUUACGUAUUUUCAAUGUCCUUUUCCAGACAGAUGUUGGAGAGAGGGAAAGGAGAAGACUGGCCUAAUUAAGAUAUCUCACAAAGAUUAUUGAGUUAAAAUGUUAUUGUAAAAGAUGUUUAAUACAAUAAUAGUAAUUCUUUUGCAUUGUUAUAAUGAGGCUGGUGGGUUUCCUCAGAGGAUGGAUAUGGCUCGCUAGCAUGCAUUUGGGAAGAUGCUAAUUAUCGGCCAUAAAAAGUCAGGGGGUUGUGGCUCUUCCGUCGCCCAGAAAUUCCUAAACUCAUAUAUCAAACUUCAGAUGAACUUGGGCAUUAUGUAAAUAUGUAUUUUUGAGAAUUAAACUAGUGCGUUCGAAAAAUUUUGAGCCAUUGUAAUCAUUUUAUUUUGCUAAGAGAAAAUUUUACUUUGUUUCGCUUUGCCUUUUGUUUUUUCUGUGAUAAUAUGAUUCAUACGAAUGUGAUUACACACUAUCAUGCAUCUAUUUUCAUUUGCUUGUCAUGAAUGGUCAACAUGCUCGAAAUAUUUACUUAGGUUGGAAAUAUUUGAAUCCACUAAAAUACUAUACAAACCCAUUUUAAAAUUAAAAAAAUGAUUAUCAUAAUACUCGUGAAGAUAACACGAUAUCAUACAUAAAAUAAAAUAUUUCGCAAAAAAGAUAAGAUACAAAUCUUGAGUAAAUAGGUACAAAAAAUAUUUUAGUGGGUUAAGUAGCACUAAUGCCCCCUUAUCAAAAAAUAAAUAAAAAUAACUAGUCUGAUUGGGUAUACCGUUUAUAUAUAUGUACAUAUUCUUGAUAAUGUGUAAUGUACAUUAUAGACAAAGAUUUUGAAAGCAAUAUUUUUUAAAAAGUCGAGAGAAUAGGAAAAGUCUAAAUCAAUUUUCUAAUCUCUACCUCCUUUAUGAUUUAAACUUUAGUGUUUAGUGUCGCGAGCCACUCAAAUUUUCUAAUCAAAGAGACUAAAUUGCACGAAAUUGUGCUAGCUUAUUUGAUUCUAGAAAUUUCUACUACACUGUAACACACUCUCACGUAGGGAUGGCAAUGGGGAGGGGAGGGGAGGGGACCAAUCUCCCCAUAUCCAUCCCCGAUAUUUUACAUAUGUCCCCGUCCCCGUCAGAAUUGCUUGAGAGAAUCCCCAUCCCCUCCUCGAAUAAUAACAGGGGAUCCCCGAGGGUCCCCGGUCCCCGAAUAACUAAUAAUCUAAUACAUUUUUUUAUUUUCGAUUUUAAAUUAAUCAUAUUAAAAUAAACUCAUACCGCUAUUGUAAGCUCGUAACCAAUUUUGACAGCACAUUAAGGCCUCCAAUGUGCUUGGAUGAAGUCUGUUAUGGUAUGGGCUCACAACUCUACCACUAGUGUUAAAAGCUGAUUCAGAAGCAACUGUUGUAAUUGGAAUUGCCAAAAUAUCUCUAGCAAUUCGAGCUAAUGUAGGAUACCUAUUAGCAUUUGUCUUCCACCAACUCAAAAUAUUAAAAUCUUCCAUCCGAGGUAUAACUUUCUCAUCCAAAUAUGAAUCUAAUUCAUCUGCAACAACUGCACAAUCUCCAUUGUUUACAUAAUCAUCAAAACCUAUCAUCCAUUUGGUUGCUUUCUUAUAAGAAUCCCCUGUAGAUCUAGUAGAAGAACUACUACCAGUAUAAUCAAAGCAAUAAACAGUUGGUGAAAACUUCAAUUAAUACUCUUCAACUAAUUCCCGGCAAAGGAUGACCACUUUCCCAACAUACAACUAUUUUGAUAUUUAUUAUUUUUAACAAUAUUUAUAAUUUUGUUAUUUAUUUAUUAGUAAUUUUAAAAAUAAAAAUAAAAUUAAAAAUUAAAAUGGGGAAAUGGGUAGGGGAUGGGGAUUCCACCUCAUCCCCGUCCCCUCCCCGAAUAAAAAAUUGGGUAAAAAAUUUUCCCCGUCCCCUCCCCGAAAAAAAAAUUGGGUAUAAAAUUAUCCCCGUACCCUCCCCGAAUGGGGAAAAUCCCCGAGGGUAUCCGUCCCCGUGGGGAUUUUUGCCAUCCCUACUCUCACGCUUGUACAUACCUCGAAAUUCUCUAGAAUUUACUAGAGUAGUGUUGCAUGUAGCUUGUACAUAGGUUUUUCUGGAACACUCCAGGCAUUACUAAGCAUGAGAGCCUUGAGAACUCUCUAGCCAUAAAACAUUCUAGGGUAAGCCUACCCUAAAAAUAGGGCAUGAUGCUUGCCACUUGAGCAUACAACAAGUAAGAACAAAUCAAGCAUACUUGUGAGCUCUCAAACUCUCUUAUACACACUUUUAUGAAUAAUAUAUUCUCUCUUUGGCUAUAUUGCUCUCUCUUCUCUCUAGUUUUUUUCGCAAGCAUCAAACCUUAGUUAGUCGAAAAAUUCAAGGCUUACUUUAUAGCUAUCUCGUAAAAGUUGUUUAAGUACCAUAGAGAUUUGCUGUGCAAAAUACUCAUCACAUGACAUUAGCUAAAUAAAAUUGUUUGAAAGCCACUUACCCAAACUAUUAAACGAAUAUUGACUUUUGUCUUAAUUUUCUAUCUCCUACGAUAAAUUUUAUAGUUAAAAAUUGAAAAAAAUUAAUAACUAUUAGAUAGAGCAUUCUUUAUUGUUAAAAGAAAUCUAUAUAGAUAGAUAGAUGGUAAUAUAAAAACUUACUUAUUGUAGUAUAAUGUUUUUAGUUUUUUGAAACACAGAUUCUCACUUUUUAAAGAUAAAAUUCAAAGAAAACAAGUUAAAUGUUGUAGAAAAUCUUCCAGCCAUACAAGAAAUUGUGAUGGCUAAAUGCAAACCUAACUAAAGUAUUAGUUGUUUUAUUACAAUCUCCAAAAAGAUGAGCAAUUCCAAAAUCUUUUUUUGUGACAAUAAACACUACACGUCAGUAAUUAUCCAGGUCAAAAGCAAGCUACUCUAUUAAAAAAAAAAAAAACUUGCAGUGAAUUCGAAGAUAAACCAAUUUUACUAGCAAGUUGGAUACAAAAGAGUAGGGCUUCGGCCUCAAUUACUCAGUGUACCAACAACUCAAUCUCGGUGAGUUAAAAUCAACUUCCAUCAGUCUUUUAUUUGUUGAUAGAUCGAUUAAGGUACCAAAAAGAAUAAUUAAAGAUGUAUUAGUUCAAGUUAAUAAAUUCAUAUAUCUUGUGGAUUUUAUUAUUUUGGAAACUGAACCAAUUGCUAAUGAAUGCAAACAAAUUCCUGUUACAUUGGGUCGUCCAUUUUUAACUACUGCUAAUACAUUGAUUAAUUGCUGGAAUGGAGUAAUGAAUUUAUCUUUCGGCAACAUGACAUUGGAACUUGAUGUGUUCAACAUAUGUAAACAACCUCACCACCAGGAAGAUGAUGAUAAUGAGAAUUAGGAGAUUGAUUUCAUCGAGCCAAUCAUUGAGGAACACAUUCAGAAUAAGAAUUUUACAAAUUCUGUGGAAAUUUAUUCUUCUUGUUCUUUUGAAUCGAGUAAAGAAUUAAAUUAUGAUACUGCUAACAUAUAACCUACAAUUGAUUCUAUGCAGGUACAUGCUGACAAUGGCCAAUCAAACUUUAAAGAUACAGAACAACCUGAAGAACCAAACGAAGAGCAAGUACCAGAGCUCAAAUUAAAGCCCUUACUGGAAGAAUUGAAGUAUGUCUAUCUUGGAGAACAACAGAUUUAUCCUGUGGUAAUUUUUUUCCCAACUCACGCUUGAUCAAGAAGGUAAGUUGUUGUCUGUACUAAAAAGGCAUAAAACUGCAUUUGGCUGGACUUUAAAAGACAUAAAAAACAAUAAUUCUUUAAUCUGCACACACCGAAUACACUUAGAGGAAAAUACCAAAACAACCCAUCAACAUCGACAUUAUAUGUGUAAACAUUAAAUACCAAAAUCAACCCCAAAAACUAUAAAUAAAAUAUCAUGAUUAAAAUGAAGUUUUUUUUUAGAUAUUCGUUGUAGUAUCUCUUUAGAUCGCAAACAAGAGAUAAAAUAAAUAAAUAUUUGCUAUGUAAAUAAAAAUAAAUAAUUUUUUUUAACUGAAAAAUAUUCUCAAAAACUAAAUAGUUCAAACUUUUUUUAACAUCAUGUGUUUCUAGGGUUGGGCAUUCAGUUCGGUUUUUACCGAACCGAACAACUAAAUUAAAUCGAAAUUACCUGUUCGGUUCAAUUGAAUAGACAAAAACCGAAGAGUUUAUAUUUUCAUGAACUGAAUGAUUUGUGUUUCAGUUGAGUUCGGUUCGAUUCUGGACCUGAACCGAACCGAACCGAUCCGUGAAUCGUAAACUGCCCACCCUUACGUAGUAGUUUCCGUUAACCGACGUUGUAUUGCUCGUAUAAAAUUGUUCAAAUGUUCAAAUCACAGUCUCCCGCUCUCAGCUCAGUCAGAGUUUCCAGGUCCAGAGACUUCCCGCUGACUGAGAACUUUUUCGUAGCAGGUCUACAAAUAAUGGAGUAGAGCUGAUUUUAUGAUUAAUUUAUUUCCUUUUUCAAUUUCUCUUGAUUGCGAUUUAAUCUGGAAAGUUAAACGUGAAUUGUUUAGUGCGGAUUAAAUGUUCGACGAAUUUCCCACAAGAGUAUUAAGUUCAAGAGAAAAAAAGAAAACAAUUGAGCGUGAGCGUGAGCGAGAAUGGUGUUUGGGCAAGUGGUGAUUGGUCCGCCCGGCUCGGGAAAGACCACUUACUGCAAUGGCAUGUCUCAGUUUCUCAGCCUUGUUGGCAGGUAACUUCGUUUCUUGAUUUCAAGCAGCUUUAUCUUCGAUGACCAAAAAUAUUGAUUUGGGCUUUGCCAUUAAAUGAAUGUAAGAGCAGUAGGGAAUAACUGAGUUAUAGGAUUAGCUUUAAGUGAACAUUGAUGGUAAUGUGAAGGUUGUAUGUGUUCAGUGGCAAGCUGUAUGCCAAUUUGGUCUAUAUGGUUGCUUAGGUAGUAACUUAUUAAUUUUUAGGCAGGAAGGUUGCAGUCAUCAAUUUAGUUCCUGCUAAUGAUAGUUUGCCGCAUCCUUUGUCAUUGAACUUUCUUACAAAUGCUGUGGUUUGUUGUAGUAUAAUUAGUUCAAUUGGAAAUUUCCUUGAUGUUAAUAUAGAAAUGAGUGUGCUGUGAAUAUUGAGGACCUCAUUAGACUAAGUGAUGUGAUGAUGGAGUAUUCACUUGGUCCCAAUGGAGGUUAGUCAGCCUAUUGUUGUUUACUCUUUCUUGCUUUAUCACGCAAUGAUAUUCCUUUGCUUUACAACAAAUUUCAUGAAAUUAACUUCAAUCAAGUGGCAAUGUUCAUACGCUGUUGAGAUUUUAUGGACAAUGAUUUGGUAGAAUUUAUAUGCCGUCUUCUUUCUUUUUGCAGUGAUAUGCUUGUAUUCAAUGAGCUUGUACUUAUUCUAUGGUUUCUAAAGUAGGUGUUUUUAUGAUAAACUAGGUCUUGUGUAUUGUAUGGACUAUCUAGAGAAGAAUAUUGACUGGCUGCAGUCGAAAUUGGAACUACUUUUGAAAGGUAAGUAGAGGCCAUUUUCCUUCAUUCUAAUGCCAAUAAUGCUGUCAUGAGACUCAUAAAAAUUGUUAAAACGUUAAUGUUUUUGGUAUUUUGCAGAUCGUUAUCUUCUGUUUGAUUUUCCUGGCCAAGUUGAAUUAUUUUUUCUUCAUUCCAAUGCCAAGACUGUUAUAAUGAGACUCAUAAAUAAGUUAAAUCUCAGGGUAUUGUUACAUCUUACAUCUAUGAAGGGACUCAAAGAGUUGAGAUGAAUUCAUCUUUGUUAUUUUGAUGCCAGAAUUGUGCAAUUCUCAGUUUGUUCCUUUCACAUGCAGUUGACUGCAGUGCAUCUAGUUGAUGUGCAUCUUUGCAGUGACCCCAGGAAGUAUGUUAGUGCUUUGCUUCUCUCAUUGUCUACGAUGCUACAUCUGGAACUUCCCCAUGUCAAUGUCUUGUCUAAUCGAUCUGAUUGAGAAUCAUGGAAAGCUAGGUGUGGUUUUAAGUGUAGCUCUCCUGCUUGUUUGUUUAGUUUGAAAUAUCAGAUAUUGUCACAAGAUCCUAUUUGCUACAUUUCCUCACCAAUCAAUUAUUUUGGGUCUGUUGCAGCUUUUAAUCUCGAGUACUAUACAGAUGUGCAAGAUUUGUCAUAUUUACAGCAUGCUCUCGGUCAGGACCCUCGUUCUGCUAAGUACAGGUUUGAAUUCUAGCUGAAUCAAUGAUGCAAAUUAUGUCCAUUGUUAUUUCUGCUGUUGUUUCUAUCAUUUUCAAUUGUUACUUCCCCUUUCCAUCUACUACCACACUACAAUACCCACACAAAUGUUGUGAAAUUUGUCAAUGGAAAAAAAACAGUUCCUCUUUUAUUUUGAUCAGACUCAAUGAAUAAGUGGUUAAAAUGUGCCUGUCCUAGAAAUAUAGAUGUGUGGUUUCGUAAAAUUUUCUUGAUCUUAAGAAAGAGUUAUCUCGAAAAGAAGAUAACAUGGAGAAUUCAACAACUAUACAGUCAUAUUGAUGUCUGUCAACUUGGGUCAUAUGGUGUCGUUUGGAUGGAGAUGUUAGGUCCCAGAUGGUAAACUUGUUAUCGAAUUCCAGUCUACUUCAUUCAUGCUUUGAUGACAUAUACGGUGCAGCUUCUUAUCUAAGACCUGCAUAUGUUCAAUCAUCAUUCUGUUCUGUAUUUGGCUGCCAUUCUUUUCAAUGAAUUCAAACCACUUCUGAAUACUUGCAAAUUCAUCCAGUGUUGUCAUUGAGAUGCCAAUAUGAAAGGAAGCCAUAAUUGCCCUUGAUAGUAUGCUUAUUGAUUGCCUCUUGCCUCACUCAGCCUCAUGAAUCUGCUUGUAUGGUGUUCUUGUAAUUUCAUUUGGAGAUUAGUAAUAUCUGUUGUUCAAAUGUAUUUUAUAUACCAGCAGUUAAUAAUUCUGCUUGCAGAAAGCUUACAAAGGAGCUGUGUGAUGUAAUUUUUCAACCUUAGAUAUCCAGGUCAUCAGUUUCUCUUGAAUUCUUUCUUGAAUUUCUUUGAAUUAUUUGUGAAUAAGAUCUUAGUUGGCUGCUUCUCUUCAGGAUAAGGAAAGUGUGGCAAAACUCGUGAAGCUGAUAUAUAAAAGCAAUGGGUACAUCUUUGCUGGCAUGGAUGCCAGUGCAGUUGAAUUCAGCAAGAUUGCCGUUCGCGAUGUUGAUUGGGAUUAUUUCGGAUAUCCUUCUUUUCACCUAUUUUCAAUGUUGUUAUUCUCAUAUUCAUAAAAUUUUUUGGUUAUUUAAUUAUGGUUCAUCAUAUGCAUCUGCAUCUUCUAACUUGUUCGUUUGAGAAACUAAUUUUGCCGUUAGGUAGGCUUCGAGCUUGAUGAGUUGAUUCAUGCUUUUUUCAUAAAUGUACCAAAAUCAUGGAAACUUCUUUUUCCCAGAUAUUGUAUCCACACUUUUUCCAUGUAAUUGGGUCAGACAAGUUUUGCUUAACAAAGAUAUCUACAGUAGCCGAAGUGCAGGAGAAGUACAUUAAGGAUGAUGAUGAUGUUAACUAAAAUGAGACGUGAAGAUAUGUGGUGUGCGAACCGUAAGCCUGCCUCUUAAUUUUGUGCAUGUUUACUUGCUUGUGAUUCACGUUUGUUAAUCUAUUUUGCUCUCUUGCAGGAGUUAUAAAGUUUUCAAUCAAUCAAACAUUUAACUUAAGUCCUUACCUCUUGCUGCAAAGACAAUGGGAAGUCUCAUGAGCUCUAAAAAAACUGAAGAAGAGUGGAAAAUAAUUUUAAAUAGUGAUUUAUGGAAGGUAAAAGAGAUCGAGAAAGGUGUUCUAACCCCUUUGUGGUUGAGUUAUAAUGAUUUGCCGUCCAGAGGAAAAAGAUGUUUCUCGUAUUGUGCUGUCUUUCCAAAAGACUACAAUAUAAAAAAAGACAAAUUAAUUACUUUGUGGAUGGCUCAAGGUUAUCUUAGUGCAGAAGCAGCAGAACAAGAUGAGGAGUUGGAGACUAUAGGUGAAGAGUAUUUUGGCAUCUUAGCUUCUCGCUCUUUCUUUCAAGAGUUUCAGAAACGUUAUGAUAAUCGUAUUAUAGCGUGCAAGAUGCAUGAUAUGGUACAUGAUUUUGCCCAAUUUGUUAGUCAAAAUGAAUGUUUUUCGUUGGAAGUUAAUGGUAGUGAGGAACUAACCGUCACAAACUCUACAAACUCUCUUGAUGAGAAGGUCCGUCAUUUAAUGUUAAUCUUUAGUAAAGGGACUUCAUUACCUGUUUCCACUCGUAGAGUUAAAAGAAUGCGUACCCUCUUAAUUAACGAUAGUAGAUCUGAUCAUUCAUUAUUAAAUGGUGAGAUCCUAGAAGAAUUAUUUAGGGAAUUGACAAGUUUAAGGGCAUUAGAUUUUGGCAAAUCGUAUAACUCAAGUUGGUCUUCGACUGUGGAGAUUCCGAGAACCAUAGAAAAGCUGGUACAUUUAAGAUACCUUAAUUUGUUUUAUCAGGGAAUAAAGAAACUACCGGAGACAUUAUGCGAGUUGUAUAAUCUAGAAAAGUUAGAUAUUAGUUUAUGUUUUAAUCUUAAAGAAUUACCUGAAGGGAUUGGGAAGUUAAUAAACAUGAAGCAUUUACGAAAUAGAGGUACUAGUUCUUUAAGGUACAUGCCAGUAGGGAUUGGGAGAUUAACGGGUCUCAGGACCUUGGAUGAGUUCCACGUGAGUGGAGGAAAGCGUGUAGGCUUGAAUCUCUUAAAAAAUUGGAACACCUUCAAGUAUGUGGUAUACGUAGACUGGGUGAUGUAUCAGAUGUGGGCGAGGCUAAGCGAUUAGAACUUGACAAAAAGAAAUACCUCUUCAGUUUGACCCUUGAGUUUGAUAAGAAGGAGGAAGAAGAAGGAGAAAGGAGGAAGAACGAGGACGAUCAAGUUCUUCUUGAAGCCCUACAACCACCUCUCAAUUUAAAGGAAUUAGAGAUAGAGUACUACCGAGGCAACACUGUUUUCCCCAGCUGGAUGACGUCAUUAACCAACUUAAAGAGUUUAGAUCUCUCUUCCUGCGAAAAUUGGGAGCAGCUGCCUCCUUUGGGAAAAUUGCCAUCCCUUGAAGCACUCAGCCUAUGGGACAUGAAGUGUGUGGAAAGAGUGGGUGAUGAAUUUUUGGGGAUAGAAAGUGAUCAUCAUGGCUCAUCUUCAUCGGUUAUUAUUGCCUUCCCCAAAUUGAAAUCACUUUCAAUUGAGGUUCUGCGCGAAUUGGAGGAGUGGGAUUAUGGGAUUACAAGAACGGGAAACACCGUCAUCAACAUCAUGCCACGUCUUUCUUCCUUGACAAUUGCACUUUGCCCCAAAUUAAAGGCACUGCCCGACCACUUUCAUCAAACGACAACAUUGAAGGAAUUGCACAUUUGGGAUUGCAGGCUUCUGGAAGAACGUUAUUGCAAGGGGGAAGGAGAAGACUGGCCUAAGAUAUCACACAUUCCCAACCUCCAUAUUGGGCUUUGACAAGUAAUUUCUUCUCUUACUCUGAUUUGCUUUGUUGUUGUUUUUAAUCUAAUUAAGAAGCGUAAAUAGCAUUUUGAAUCAAACUCUAUAUCAGAAAUCUGCAAUACUUACUUUCUAAUAUUCUGAUUUUCAUAUCCUAUGAAUAUACGAUUUUUAAUUUGUGAGAUGGGUAACGUUACUGUAAAAGAUUAUUAAUGCAAUAUGAGUAAUUCUUUUGCAGGACAAGUGACCUACAUUUAGUUUGGCUUUGGAGUUGAAUAAUAACCUUUCGAGGUCCCGACAACCAAAAAACGAAGCUUAAUUUGCCACAGAUUGCACGUAUUGCCAUUAUUGACAAUUUUCUGCACAAGCUUAGGUUGAUGUCAAAAGAGGUAAAUUAUUGGCAUGCCUGACUAUUUUGACCAUUACACGAUUCAUAAGUUUACAUUAAUUUUGAUUUUGAGUUGAGUGAUUAGUUUUCUAGGUUUGCUUACUUUAACUGGGUGACCAAUUUCUUGUAACUAAAUGUAUGAUGUGAAGCAGAACUCAAACAAAAGUAUGCUACUUCUUGCGGAAAUCUUGCCUUUGUUCAGAUUAUGAAACCAUUUCCAUGCAGCAAAUUCAUCCAAAAGUUUGAAUAAGUUUCACGGUUGGACACUGUUGGUUUCUUUUUCUUCUGGGGUGCAUUUAGGUGCUAUCAAGUGACAGCUGUAAGUAUGAUUGCACUAAGCUGCCGCUGGGAAAUUUGAGGUUUUGAUGGCUGCCCAUGUUAUUUUCAAGAAACUAUUGAUGUAAGAAGCUGUGGUUCUUUUCAUCAGCUUGAACCUGAAACUGUCGCUAUGGAUAACUCAGGUUUUUGUUAUCAACUAUAUCAUCUUUUUCACUAUUUUGAAACUCUUAAGAUUAAACUUUAGUAAAGUUGUUUCAGCUUUUCAAAUGAAAAACUCAUUGAUUUGAGACUUCCUUCAUUAUUGUUUCUAAUUACAAUGCUAACGAUCCAGAUAAGAUAAUAUUUAAUCGGCGAAGGUGUCCCUUGGAAGUACAUCCUUCUUUUUCUUUUAUUAUACAAAUUCUUGCAAUGAGCUUAGUGAAGCUGUUGUGCUAAUCAUGCCACUGCAUAAUUUGGCCCCUAAUGUGGGUACUCUGUUACAUUGUUCUGCAAAUUCUCCAGAAGUUAAAAUCAAUAAAUUUUCUAUUAGCUCUAGUGCUUUGACCUAAAUGCUAUUCUAUAUUCUGAUUACAAUGUUUUACCUUUAAAUUAACUACCCCUAGAUGUUGGAUUUUCUAGAACUUCAAAAUGAUUAAUGGAGAAAGAUCCCAUUAUCGUUAUUGCUAUAAAAAAUUGAUUUAUGCAUCCAAAGAUACAUUAUAUAUUUCUGUGUCUCUAUUUAUAGAUGACAUUUAAGCAUCCAUAAACCGUCAGACAGAGGAAGGGGGUUCAGUGCAAAGAUUCUGUUGACCUAGGGUUGACUGCAUAAUGUCACUUGUUCGCAAUCUAUUAUUCUUUUCAAGGUCUGCUUCCUUAACGGAGCGACCAAUGUUUUUCAACUAAAUUUAUCAUAUGAUGCAGGAAGCAGGGCAGGAUAUGAAAUGUGAAGCUCAUUGGUGGAAGUAUUGCCAGUAACAGAACCCAAAGAAAAUGAAACUAUUUCAAGGCAGCAGUUGGCAGUUGCAAGUGAAUGGAGGCCCUUGACAAAAUUCUCAAGCGGUUGCAAUGCAAUUACGAUCAUCCUCAGCCUCAGGUAAUUUCUUCUCCUGCUUUGUAUUUAUUUGUUAUCUAAUUAGGAACCGUAAAGUAUCUUGAAUCAUUUUCUGUAUCUGGAAUAUAUGCAAGAGUUUCUAAAAUUUUGAUAUGAGUGUAAUGAUGGUAAUUUCUGUUUUCUGUCUGUCAUCAAAUGUUAGAAAACUUUCAUUGAGACCCUUGAACCGAGUCAUUUUUGACAAGUGAAGUGCUGAAGAGUGAAGAGUAAGAAUGGUGCUAGAUUGGGGAAUAAAGCAAAAGGAGGUAAAUUAUUGGCAGCUUCUUCAACCUUAUUUUCUUUGGACCAGUGCCUAAUUCACAAGUCUCCAUAAUUCGGCUUUUGACCAGUUGAUAGAUAAAAUUUUAAUUUCAUUGGUGCUAAUGUACCCGUGAGGCAGGCAGAGAAGGACUGUGGAAAAGAGAAGGUUUUUAGUGAAAGCUUAAACUCAGGUAAUUCUAAAAAUUAUAUGUUUUGGCUGAUUUAUCUAAAUCAGGAAAUUUUAUUUCCAUCUGUUACAAUAAAACAGAAACAGAACACAAAGAAAAAUAUUCUACUUCUUGUGGCAAUCUUGCCUUCAUUCAGACUAUGAAACCAUUUCCUUUCACCAAUUUCUUCCAAAAGUUUGAACACAUUUCAUGGUUGGACAUAGUUAGCUUCUUUUUCUUUUGGUGCAUUUAGGUGCUAUCAAGUGACAGCCGUAAGUAUGAUUGCAUUAUUGGGAAAUUUUAGGUUUUGAUGGCUCCCCAUGUUAUUGCCAAGAAAUUUUAAGUCCUCGUGUCAGAAGCUGCGUUUCUUUUCAUCAGCCUGAACCCGAACCUGUCACUAUGGAUAACUGAGGUUUUUGUCAUCAACUAUAUCAUCUUUUUCACUGUUUUGAAACUCUUAAGAUUAAACUUCAGUAAAGUUGUUUCAGUUAUCCAUGUAAUCAGGCUAAGGAUAUUUAGCAGCUUAUUUAGGCAACUGCCAGAAUUCAGUUUGUUCGCUCGAAACUUGUAUGGUGACAAGGAUACUGGCAAGGAUAGUGAGAUAGUUUUUUGUGUGAGUGAAUUUUGAAAGCUUGGGUGUUCUGGGAUUUGCAAUUGCAAUCAUCCUCUGCUUUAGGUGAUUUCUUCUCCUGUUCUGUCUUUAUUUUCUCUCUAAUUGAAAGCAUUUCAAUCAAAUUCUGUACCAGGAAUACGAAAAAUUUACCAAUAUUUUAUUUCCAUCUGUUUGCAUUGAUAACUUGGCCGCAUAUGUACUAGUUAAAGAACAAACAGAAGCAGAGUUCAGGAAAAAGUUUCUUCGGCCACCAUAUUUGAAAAUGAAACCAUUUCCAGGAAGCAGUUGGCAGCAAAUUCAUACAAAGUAUAGACAAUGAUGAACAAAAAGGUGAUUCGCAAUUUCAUUUUUUUAAAAUGAAAUUAUUUGUUAAGUUGGAGCUGAUAUUGUUAGAAGGCCAUUGAGCUAACCUCUGACACUGCUUGCCUAGAUUGCAGGAGGUCAAGACUCAAAAGAUGCACUGAAUUUUAAAAGGCAUGCAAUAAUUCUUAUGGCCAUUUGUCAAUGGUGGAAUGCUUUUAGCUUCUUUUCCUUUUGUGCAUUUUGGGGUUCUAUCAAGCGACAGCCGUAUGUAUGGAUGGAUAUAGCUGCUGCGUUGAUUUCUAAUGCAUUGUAUGAUGUUAUAGCAACUAUCCAUCUGGUCAAUGUUUCAAAAGAAUAAGACAGGGAAAAAGAGAAAGCAAGUGGCCAAUCAAGUUGCAUCAACCAAAUUGUUGUUAAACAAGUAAAACAAAGAAAGAGAGUUAAGGAAGCUGACCUUGUAGUAGGGGAGCUGAAGAAAGGCUGCCAGUGAAUGUAAGAGAAAAUAAAAUGCAAGAAAUGGUGAAGUGCAGCUUUUCAUGUCAACUUGAAAUUGAUUUUUCUGUUUGUUUUUUUUUUUUUGUAAUCUUUUGGAUUUUUCAAACAAAGAAAAUGAGGAGCAACCAGGGAGAUAAAAAGGGCGCCAAGGCAACUGUGUGUUGGGUUUAGAGCCAAAAAUAAAUAAAUAAAUAAAUAAGACAUCGUGUUCUUGUGGAGACCAGACCUAUUACGUAACGUCCCCUUCAAUACCACUUGUUCCGUAUCUGGUUUUCUCUUCGUCGUUUACAUAUUUAUCCUGUGAUUUUACAAUAACUAAAUAAUCCCCGCAUAGUUUGCAAUUUUAUUCAUUUGGGCCCUACAGAUUUCAGUAAUAGGAAUUAUUAAGGGACAAGAGCGCAAAACAGAAACUCUGUCCACUACUGAUGAUAUAAUAACGAACCUUUGUUUUUUUUUUUUAAAAAAAAAAAGAGUAACAAAAUAUCAUUAGACAAAUGAAAAUAUUAUCUAACAUCACCUAUUCACCUUACUGAUGAUAUGAAAAUAUGUAUGUAUGUAUGUAUGUAUGUACAUAUAUACAUACACCUAUGUAACAUUUACUUAUACAUUCUUUUGAGUUUAAAUCUUAAUACAACUACAUACAACCACAUCAAUGUAUAUAUUUUUUACAUAAGACAUGCCGUCCUAUUAUUCAUAAGUAAACAAUGUGCCGUAAAUAGUAUUCUGUGUUUUCUCAAAGUUGACUUUUCGUCUUUUAUUUUCAGACGCAGACGCUAUGUCAUUUUGUAAUCGUCCGAACAUAUACAGAGCAGAAUUGGUGUUAUCUGAUUUUGUGAUGCAAUAAGAUUUGCACUUCCUGUGCAUUCAAUGGAAUCAUGCCACGCUAGUAGACAAUAUGCUAGUUUGAACAAACUUGUUUGAAUGGCAAAAACGACAUGACCUGCUGUAGUAUUAAUUCUUUCCCGAACCAACGGGUGAUUUGCUACGUUGGAUCAUGAAAAUUAACCAAAAUAAAAAUUCUUAAGGAAUUAGUUAGUUAAUUGAUUGAUCGAAUUUAAUCUAAAUUUGAAAAUGAUAAGAUAAAUUUAAAUUUAUUAUUAUUAUUAUUAUUAUUAUUUUAAAGUGGGUGGGUUUAUACAAUUUGAGCGGUGGAAAUAUCACUGCUGAAUUAUUAAAUAUACAGUGUAAAAUUUUGACCUUUAAAAUAUUCCCUUUUUUUUUUUAUUUAGCACUAUAAGUUUAAAAAUUUAACAUUUUACCUCAAUAAUUAAAUACUUUUAACUUUAAUCUUCAAAUAUUUACCCUACAACAUUUGGACCUAAAUUUUUAAUCCGACUCGGCCCCUGACCCAAGUGGGAAGAAGAUCAGGCUUAUAAGUUAUAACUAUCACCAACAUAACAUCUUCUGGAAAAUAAUAAGAUUACUCACCUGCAAUUAUGUGAUCAAACUAAUGGUAAGCAAAAUAGAACAGCGUUAUUUCAGUCCCCUUUCAGUUUCUUUAUCAUUUUUCUUUUCCUAUUUAUAAGCUUAAUUCGGUUCAAAAUCGGCUAAUUCACUUUGAUUUCACUUUUCUUUCUUUCGGUUCAAAAAAAUUGAACCCAUUGGCUGUCAAUUCAAUUUUGUUGAAAACCAACUUUGCCUGAAUUUAAGUAAUAAUAGAGGAAAAAAAAAGAGUACUUAGCAGAAGAGAUUUCUCAUUUUUUUCUCAUUCAAACUUCUAAAAUAAAAGAAAAAAAAACAAGAGUAAUUGUUAAUUAUCAAAAUUUUGUUUAUACUAUUCCACCAAGAAAAUUAUACAAAAAAAAAAAUUUUAAAAAUUGGAGAAGAAAUAUGAGGUGAAAUACGUGGAUGGCUUAGACUAAUAAUGUGAACAAAUUCCUCUUGGAAGCAUGUCAUUGUUCAUCCGGACAACACGCGGCGAUGAGAUUCGAGAAUAAAAGGAUAGGAAUCAACUGUAACCUCAUAAACAAAUGGCCUUGGAGUUGUAACCAAAGCUUUUAAUUAUUGAUCAUUAAGAUCGAUAUAAAGUAUCACGAAAUGAUGUGUACGACGACAAUAUCAAUAGCGUAGUGUGAAGACCUGGCUGUAAACACAAGGCUCGGCAGAUUAAUUAAACAAGAGUAUCCGAAUUUUCUAUGAUAAUCUCUAGGAAACGAUCAGCUAUAAUGUACGAAAUUAAAAUAUUGCAUAUAUUUUUGAAUUUUUGAACUCAUGCAUUAAUUUAAAAAAUUAUAUCGUAUUAUAAUUUAUUCACAAAAGAAAGAAAAAUUCACUAAUCAAGUGAAAUCGUAUUCUUAUUGAAAUGAAUUCCAGUAAUUGGAUAAAUAUAAGUAUUUCUUCCGUUGUAAUUUUUGUUUAACAGAAAAUCUAUUUGAGAUUUUGUGAGAAGAAACUCAACAAUAAAGUUUGAUAGACUUUGUGGAUAUUAAGAGUUUGACAAGUAAUUGAAAUCUGAAGUUUACUGAAAUUUACGAGCAAACAAACUGAAAUCCGAAGUUUACUGAAGUUUACUAUCAAGAGUUUCAAAACAGUGAAAAAGAUGAUAUAGUUGAUGACAAAAACCUGAGUUAUCCAUAGCGACAAGUAACAUACUGAAGUAAGCCGUUGGGAGCUGGCCUGUUCAUGGGCUAUUUUUCUCUGAUGAUCUGCAUUUUUCUUCCUUUUAAAGUGAACCUUGACUCGUAUCAAACCUGUCAAAAGAACAGUUCAUCAACUGAGCUGAGAUUUGCUUUCCUUUUUCAAAACCCACCUGAGAUAUUGUAAUUCCCAAAUUUCUCUCUCUCAGCUACACGAGCAAGCAGCCGCUUUUUCACUUCAUCGAAGAAGGUAAGCGAUUUAUCUAUUUCGUCCGAUUGAUUUCUUGUUUCGUUUUCAGUGUUCGGGUAAAUUAUUGGCAUGCCUGACUUUUUGACCAUUACAUGAUUCAUAAAUUUCUAUUAAUUUUGAUUUUGAGUUGACUGGUUACUUUUAUAGGUUUGUUUACUUUGACUAGGUGACCAAUUUCUUGUAACUAAAUUUAUGACGUGAUGCAGGAAGCUCGGCAGGAUAUGAAAUGAGAAUCUUAUUAGUGGAAGGAUUGCCAGUAACAGAACCCAAAGAAAAUGAAACCAUUUCAAGGCAGCAGUUGGCAGUUGGGAGUGGAUGGAGGCCCCUGACAAAACUUCAGUAAACUUCAGAUUUCAGUUUGUUUGCUCGAAACUUGCAUGGUGACAAGGAUACUGGCAAGGAUAAUGAGAUAGUUUUUGUGUGAAUGAAAUUACGAUCAUCCUCAGCCUUAGUUGUUAUUUGUUACCUAAUUAAGAAGCAUAAAGUAUCCUGAAUCAUUUUCGUUGUCUGGAACAUAUGAGUGUAAUGAUUGUAAUUUCUGUUUUCUGUCUGUCAUCGAAUGUAAGACAACUUUAUUAAGAUUCUUGAACCGAGUCAUUUUUGACAAUUGAAGGACAAGUGCUGAAGAGUGGGAAUGCAAAAAGUUUUGUUGUUUCUAGCCUUGUUUUCUUUGAACCAGCGCCUGAUGAUAUAACAGAAACAAGGCUAGAAACAACAAAAACUCUGUCCACUACUGAUGAUAUAACAACGAACCUUUGUUUUUUUCUUUUUUCUUUUUUUUUUUAAAAAAAGUAACAAAAUAUCAUUAGAGAAAUGAAAAUAUUAUCUAACAUCACCCUACUGAUGAUAUGAAAAUAUGUAUGUAUGUAUGUAUGUAUAUACGUAUGUAUGUACAUAUAUACAUACACCUAUGUAACAUUUAAUUAUACAUUCUUUUGAGUUUAAAUCUUAAUACACAUUUUCAUGAAAUUUUUAUUUUAUUAAGUAUACAACUACAUACAACUACAUUAAUGUAUAUAUUUUUUACAUAAGACAUGCCGUCCUAUUAUUCAUAAGUCAACAAUGUGUUGUAAAUAGUGUUCGUGUCUCAAAGUUGACUUUUCGUCUUUUAUUUUCAGACGCAGACGAUAUGUCAUUUUAUACACAGCAGAAUUGGUGUUAUCUGAUUUUGUGAUGCAAUAAGAUUUGCACUUCCUGUGCACUCAAUGGAAUCAUUUCUUUGUAACUAAUUGGGUGCUGGAAUGGUGGUCAAAUCUCGAACGAAGACAGAUCUAUCAAACUCCAGAAUUGGUGUUAUCUGAUUAAUUGAUUGAUCGAAUUUUAUCUAAAUUUGAAAAUGAUAAGAUAAUUUUGAAUUUAUUAUUAUAAUUAUUAUUUUAAAGUGGGGUGGGUUUAUACAAUUUGAGCGGUGGAAAUAUCACUACUGAAUUAUUAAAUAUACAGUGUAAAAUUUUGACCUUUAAAAUAUUCCCUUUUUUUUUUAUUUAGCAUCUAUAAAUUUAAAAAUUUAACAUUGUACCUCAAUAAUUAAAUACAUUUAACUUUAAUCUUCAAAUAGUUACCCUACAACAUUUGGACCUAAAUUUUUAAUCCGAUUCGGCCCCUGAUCCAAGUGGGAAGAAGAUCAGGCUUAUAACUAUCACCAACGUAACAUCUUCUGGAAAAUAAUAAGAUUAUUCACCUGCAAUUAUGUGAUCAAACUAACGGUAACCAAAAUAGAACAGCGUUAUUUGAGUCCCCUUUCAGUUUCUUUAUCAUUUUUCUUUUCCUAUUUAUAAGCUUAAUUCGGUUCAAAAUUGGCUAAUUCACUUUAAUAAGUUUAUUGGUUUGAACGCUGUUAGCUUCUUUUCCUUUCGUGCAUUUUGGUAUGCAACAGUUCUUGCCUAUGACACUGCUUGCCUAGAUUGCAGAAGGUCAAGGCUCAAAAGAAGCACUGAAUUUUAAAAGGCAUGCAACAGUUCUUGUGCCAUAUGUCAAUUCAUGCAAGUUUGAAUAAGUUUUUUGGUAUGCUAUCAAGUGACAGCCGUAUGUAUGGUUUGCAUAUAGCUGCUGCUGGGAAAUGUGAGGAUUUCAUGGCUGGCCGUGUUAUUGUCUUAAAUUAGAUGUGAUAAGCUGUUGCUUGGUGAUUCUGUUGCCAAGAAUUUGCUCACAUCAGAAGCUGUGGAACCUGAACCCUUCUCUAGAUAUCAUCUUUUUCAUUGUUUUAAAACUCUCAGGAUUAAACUUGAGUAAUUUUGUUCGGUUGUCUAUAUAAUCAUGUAUUGAGUAAACUCUCAGGAUACUGAGCAGGCAAAUGCCAUAACUCGGUUUGUUCUUCAAAAACUUGUUUAAGAUUCUUGACAAAGCUGCAUGAAGUGAAUCUUGGGAGCUUUGAGGGUGAGAGAAAUUAGAGGGUGUAUAGGGAUUUGGGCUUAUUAGGAAGUUAUAUAUGUAUUUCGUCACUUAUCAUUAUCAUUUUUUUUUUCACAGAAAACCUUCUGAUGGUGCUAAAUUUUCAAACACCGGUCCGAUUCAAAACUUCAUAUUCCAAUUAUAUUCAUAAGACAAAUGGAACACUUUGAACGGCUUGUGUCCGAGCAUUGUAGUUUGAUUUAUUUUGAUGACAGUACCUUUUGACAUUGAGAUUCUUUCAUGAUUUAAACAUUCUUUUAAAAACUAAAUUAUUAAAAAAAAAGUAACUAACAUAUAUUAUUUUAUUAGUGCUUUUUAAAUCAAAUAUACAUAGGAGAACUGUAAUUCUUAGCAAUCAAUUUUCCACUAAAUACACCUGCAACAAACUAUUAAUAGCAAAGUGAUAGAAAAUACCUGAUUUUUCAUACUUUCUAAUUUCUUUUGGUCCUAAAAUAUGGGCAUUUGUGUAAUAAUUAGCCCAUGUGGAUCUCUAUGCCAUGAGUUUGAUAAGUAGCUAUCAAGGAUCACUUAUUAAGCUAAAAAUAUUUGGAGGACAAAAUUGUAAAACUAAAAGGGUGGAGCAAAUAUGGCUAUCUAGGAUUAAAUAGUAAGUCAACUAUAUUUAAAGGAUAAAAUAUUAAAACUUGAAAUGUGAUAUUAAAAAUAUCUCAACUAUUAUGUUAUUAAACCAUAUGUUGUAAUAGUUUAUUUUUUAAGCUUCAAAAUGUUCAGGAUUUUAGAUUGAAACAUUUUCAUUUGAAAUUAUUUGGUGCAGUCACAAGUUAAGAAAGAAAAAGUUGUCCCAUUGGUCAUUUCACAAAAAUGAAAGCCCUGUAUAACAUGGGCUUGAAUGGAAGCCCAAUUGUUUGUGUUUGAUUAAUUGAUUUCAAGCUUUAUCGAACCUUUGUACCUGGAUACUUUACUGCGGCCUCUAAGCGCUAUAAAUUUUUUUGGGGAUAAACGGCGCUUCAAUGAGGUCAUCUCCGAUGCUUAACACCAUUUUGGUGUAAUACCAACAUUAAAAAUAUACAUUUUUCACACUAAAUUACUAUUUCAUCUCCAACCCAUUUACACCAAAAAAAAUAUUUUUCUUUUUAUUCUUUUAAUUCUCAAGAAUUAAUUCAAUUAACACAAUAAAUACUACUAUUAACAUAGAUAAUUAAGUAAUAAGUAAUUUUAUCGAUU